ACUCCUACGGGAGGCAGCAGUGGGGGAUAUUGCACAAUGGAGGAAACUCUGAUGCAGCGACGCCGCGUGAGGGAAGAAGGUCUUCGGAUUGUAAACCUCUGUCUUUGGGGACGAACAAAUGACGGUACCCAAGGAGGAAGCCACGGCUAACUACGUGCCAGCAGCCGCGGUAAU
Molecule: ribosomal RNA, 174 nt
Filed under: uncultured bacterium
Lineage: Bacteria
Description: partial 16S ribosomal RNA
Rfam family: Bacterial small subunit ribosomal RNA
Source: RNAcentral